This 595-nucleotide ribosomal RNA is filed under the name uncultured Tomentella. RNAcentral's name for it is "eukaryotic LSU rRNA". The stretch from base 229 to 383 matches the Rfam family "5.8S ribosomal RNA". The record is from RNAcentral. Lineage: Eukaryota; Fungi; Basidiomycota; Agaricomycetes; Thelephorales; Thelephoraceae.
CCGUAGGUGACCUGCGGUAAGGAUCAUUACCGAACUGUCGACACGAGUUGUUGCUGGNCCUCAAACGGGGGCAUGUGCACGCUCUGUUCACACAUCCACUCACACCUGUGCACCCUCUGUAGUUCUGUGGCUUCGGGACUCUGUCCCCUUGCCGUGGUCCUACGUCUUUACACACACACUGUAAUGAAGUCUUAUGGAAUGUAUGUCGCGUCUAACGCAAUACAAUACAACUUUCAGCAACGGAUCUCUUGGCUCUCGCAUCGAUGAAGAACGCAGCGAAAUGCGAUAAGUAAUGUGAAUUGCAGAAUUCAGUGAAUCAUCGAAUCUUUGAACGCACCUUGCGCCCUUUGGCUAUUCUGAAGGGCAUGCCUGUUUGAGUAUCAUGAACAUCUCAACUCUCACGGUUCGCCGUGAUGAGCUUGGACUUUGGGGGUCUUGCUGGCCUGCGGGUUGGCUCCUCUCAAAUNGAUCAGCUUGCCAGCGUUUGGUGGCAUCACGUGUGUGAUAACUAUCUACGCUCGUGGUUCUCNGCCAGGUAACCUUCGGUGACGGAGGUUCGCUGGAGCUCACAAACGUCUCUCCUCAGUGAGGACAG